CCAGACUCCUACGGGAGGCAGCAGUGGGGAAUAUUGCACAAUGGGGGGAACCCUGAUGCAGCGACGCCGCGUGGGUGAAGGAGCACCUCGGUGCGUAAAGCCCUAUCGGCAGGGAAGAAAAGCGAACAGGUUCGCCUGGACGGUACCUGACUAAGAAGCCCCGGCUAACUACGUGCCAGCAGCCGCGGUAAUACGUAGGGGGCAAGCGUUAUCCGGAUUUACUGGGUGUAAAGGGAGCGUAGACGGCGAUGCAAGCCAGAUGUGAAAGCCCGGGGCUCAACCCCGGGACUGCAUUUGAAACUGUUGGUCUUGAGUAUCGGAGAGGCAGGCGGAAUUCCUAGUGUAGCGGUGAAAUGCGUAGAUAUUAUGAGGAACACCAGUGGCGAAGGCGGCUUACUGGACUGUAAAUGACGCUGAGGCUCGAAAGCGUGGGGAGCAAACAGGAUUAGAUACCCUGGUA
This 460-nucleotide ribosomal RNA is filed under the name uncultured bacterium. RNAcentral describes it as "bacterial SSU rRNA". It matches the Rfam family "Bacterial small subunit ribosomal RNA", at positions 331 to 792 of the family's 1533-position model. The record is from RNAcentral.